AAGUCGUAACAAGGUUUCCGUAGGUGAACCUGCGGAAGGAUCAUUAAAGAGAGAGGGUCUCCAGGCCCAAACCACCCCCUUCGUCAAGCAAACCUAGCCUUGCCUUUGUUGGGUGGACCGCCCAUCAGAGGACCUUGAAACCCCGUCAUCUGUGGAGUCUGAGCAUGAUACAAUAGUUAAAA
This 182-nucleotide unclassified non-coding RNA is filed under the name plant metagenome. RNAcentral's name for it is "partial contains small subunit ribosomal RNA and internal transcribed spacer 1". The stretch from base 1 to 46 matches the Rfam family "Eukaryotic small subunit ribosomal RNA", at positions 1786 to 1831 of the family's 1831-position model. The record is from RNAcentral.